GAUGAACGCUGGCGGCGUGCCUAAUACAUGCAAGUCGAGCGAACAGAUGAGGAGCUUGCUCCUCUGACGUUAGCGGCGGACGGGUGAGUAACACGUGGAUAACCUACCUAUAAGACUGGGAUAACUUCGGGAAACCGGAGCUAAUACCGGAUAAUAUAUUGAACCGCAUGGUUCAAUAGUGAAAGACGGUUUUGCUGUCACUUAUAGAUGGAUCCGCGCCGCAUUAGCUAGUUGGUAAGGUAACGGCUUACCAAGGCAACGAUGCGUAGCCGACCUGAGAGGGUGAUCGGCCACACGGAAACUGAGACACGGUCCAGACUCCUACGGGAGGCAGCAGUAGGGAAUCUUCCGCAAGGGGCGAAAGCCUGACGGAGCAACGCCGCGUGAGUGAUGAAGGUCUUCGGAUCGUAAAACUCUGUUAUUAGGGAAGAACAAAUGUGUAAGUACUAUGCACGUCUUGACGGUACCUAAUCAGAAAGCCACGGCUAACUACGUG
RNAcentral lists this ribosomal RNA (496 nucleotides) under uncultured bacterium. RNAcentral's name for it is "partial 16S ribosomal RNA". It matches the Rfam family "Bacterial small subunit ribosomal RNA", at positions 28 to 507 of the family's 1533-position model. The record is from RNAcentral.